Molecule: non-coding RNA, 1685 nt
Organism: Castor canadensis (American beaver)
Lineage: Eukaryota; Metazoa; Chordata; Mammalia; Rodentia; Castoridae
Source: RefSeq, a predicted model, not a curated record
GAAUAAUAAUUGCUGGGUGCCUGUGUCCAAUCAGCCCUGCACCAUGAGAAGUCUGAAAGUGGACUCGUACAGUAGGAGUAAGAGAAAGGUCUUUAGUGAAUCUGUUGCAGGUAAAGCCAAUAUACAUCUCUGCUGCUUAACCUCUGCCCCGUCUGCCUUGCACAGGUAAGCACAUUAGAGGAAGUUCUUUCUCACAUUUCCUAGAGUGGCCUGAUCAAAUGGUGAUAUCCAGACGAGGUACUGCUUGCUGGCUUUUAUGUGACCUUCAUUAGCCCAUCUUUAUUCAUCUAGGUGAAGAUAUAAUCUGAUUGCUUCUGUUGUACAAAGAAAACUGAUUAGAAGUCAGGUUCAAGUCCCCAGACCAGCAAUUUUCUGAUCUUGGACAUAUUAGUUAAUUUCCCUAAGUUUCCAUUUCUUCACCCAUAAAGUGAUAUUAAUAACUGAUGUUGAGGAUUGCUGGAGAAUUAAAUAAGAAAGGAAUUUUAAAAGGCAAUUUGUAAACUGAUUAGGGCUGUACAGAUGUUAGCCUCAAUCAUUACCACAUUGAGAAUCACUUAGGGCUGAUUCUGAGAUGUGCUUAGCCUACUUGAGUAAUGCCAUAAUAAUUUUACUUGGGUAACAUUCUUGCGUUUCUUCAUUCAGGUUCUACUUUGCUUGAUGGAAAAAAAAAGUGGUGUUGCUCAGGUUAGACUUGGAUUCACCAGCACAAAUAGAGAUGCACCUUGACAUUGUCAAGAUAGGAUUUCAGAAGGUUCUGAUAUUAUCACUUCUCUCAAUCUUGAGCAAGUCUUUUGAGUCUAUGUAGCGAAUACCAAGAAAAAUAAGGCGUAUGCUACAUUGGCAAUAAUUCCUUCCAGGUUUGCUUCUUCUUUCCUCCUCUCCACUUUCUCUUCCUUCAUUUGCUUAUAAUUUCUUGAACAAGAGAAUUGUUGCUAAAAUUGCUUGGGUACCAGUGAUAAAUUGGAAUAUGGAAUUCUUAAAAAAUGAAACAACCCACAAGAUACUUGGUAUCAUACUGUGGUUACUGAGCCGGACUUCUUAGACCUGAUCUGCAGUAGAUGAAAAGAAAAGCUGAAGGUCAUCUCUUUUGUUUUCUUCCCUUCAUCUUUUCAGGGAACUUGGAUUUAACUGGUCAGAAGCAAGUCUUCAAAGCAGAGAACAACCCCUGGGUGACCCCAAUUGCUGACCAGUUCCAGCUUGGUGUUUCCCAUGUUUUCGAGUACAUACGUUCUGAAACAUACAAGUACCUCUACGGUAGACACAUGCAGGCGAAUCCAGAACCCCCAAAGAAGAACAACGACAAAUCGAAAAAGAUCAGCCGAAAGCCCCUGGCAGCCAAGAACAAAUGAGGGGCUGGCAUGGACUGGGCUUCCAGCCUCUUCUCUGACUAACCCUUCUGACCUGUCUUGCUCUGUCUCACAAAUAAAUACAAUGCGUGUGUGGCUUUUUAAAUUUUUUUUUCUUUUCACUCUUGUCUUUCUAAUGCUUACCACCUUACCUUUGAAGUUCUUUUGGUAAGUGGUAGAUUUUUAUCAGGUCUUAAAACCAUUUUCAUUUGUUUCCUGAAAAUUGCCAAAUGCAGGAAACAAAGUUGUAAUUCAACUGCAAAUUCCAUAGUAGGCACAGGUUUCAGUCCCCUGAAUAGACAUCACAAGGCUGGCUUAUUAUCAAAAGAAUAAUUAAAA